This 395-nucleotide ribosomal RNA is filed under the name uncultured bacterium. RNAcentral describes it as "bacterial SSU rRNA". It matches the Rfam family "Bacterial small subunit ribosomal RNA", at positions 505 to 898 of the family's 1533-position model. The record is from RNAcentral.
GUGCCAGCCGCCGCGGUAAUACGUAGGGGGCUAGCGUUGUCCGGAAUCAUUGGGCGUAAAGCGCGUGUAGGCGGUCCGGUAAGUCCGCUGUGAAAGUCGGGGGCUCAACCCUCGGAUGCCGGUGGAUACUGUCGGGCUUGAGUACGGAAGAGGCGAGUGGAAUUCCUGGUGUAGCGGUGAAAUGCGCAGAUAUCAGGAGGAACACCAAUUGCGAAGGCAGCUCGCUGGGACGUUACUGACGCUGAGACGCGAAAGCGUGGGGAGCAAACAGGAUUAGAUACCCUGGUAGUCCACGCUGUAAACGAUGGGCACUAGGUGUGGGGGGUGUCGACUCCCUCCGUGCCGAAGCUAACGCAUUAAGUGCCCCGCCUGGGGAGUACGGCCGCAAGGCUAAA